RNAcentral lists this ribosomal RNA (588 nucleotides) under uncultured bacterium. RNAcentral's name for it is "partial 16S ribosomal RNA". It matches the Rfam family "Bacterial small subunit ribosomal RNA", at positions 355 to 1375 of the family's 1533-position model. The record is from RNAcentral.
UGGGGAAUUUUGGACAAUGGGCGAAAGCCUGAUCCAGCAAUGCCGCGUGUGUGAAGAAGGCCUUCGGGUUGUAAAGCACUUUUGUCCGGAAAGAAAUCCUUGGCUCUAAUACAGUCGGGGGAUGACGGUACCGGAAGAAUAAGCACCGGCUAACUACGUGCCAGCAGCCGCGGUAAUACGUAGGGUGCAAGCGUUAAUCGGAAUUACUGGGCGUAAAGCGUGCGCAGGCGGUUUGCUAAGACCGAUGUGAAAUCCCCGGGCUCAACCUGGGAACUGCAUUGGUGACUGGCAGGCUAGAGUAUGGCAGAGGGGGGUAGAAUUCCACGUGUAGCAGUGAAAUGCGUAGAGAUGUGGAGGAAUACCGAUGGCGAAGGCAGCCCCCUGGGCCAAUACUGACGCUCAUGCACGAAAGCGUGGGGGAGCAAAACAGGAUUAGAUACCCUGGUAGUCCACGCCCUAAAACGAUGUCAACUAGUUGUUGGGGAUUCAUUUCCUUAGUAACGUAGCUAACGCGUGAAGUUGACCGCCUGGGGAGUACGGUCGCAAGAUUAAAACUCAAAGGAAUUGACGGGGUCAUAGCUGUUUCCU